UACAGAGGUCUCAAGCGUUGUUCGGAUCCAUUGGGCGUAAAGGGCGCGUAGGUGGUUCUGUAUGUCUACCGUGAAAGCGUACGGCUCAACCGUAUUUUGUCGGUAGAAACUGCAGGACUUGAGGCUGGGAGGGGCUGGUGGAAUUCCCUGUGUAGCGGUGAAAUGCGCAGAUAUCAGGAAGAACACCCGUGGCGAAGGCGGCUCUCUGGGACGGUACUGACGCUGAGACGCGAAAGCGUGGGGAGCGAACAGG
Molecule: ribosomal RNA, 253 nt
Filed under: uncultured bacterium
Lineage: Bacteria
Description: partial 16S ribosomal RNA
Rfam family: Bacterial small subunit ribosomal RNA
Source: RNAcentral